RNAcentral lists this long non-coding RNA (221 nucleotides) under Carica papaya (papaya). RNAcentral describes it as "long non-coding RNA (CPAP_LNC006025)". The record is from RNAcentral. Lineage: Eukaryota; Viridiplantae; Streptophyta; Magnoliopsida; Brassicales; Caricaceae.
ACUGGGGGGCCCUGUGGUCGUACUUAUUGAUACGGUGGGGGCACCAGAUUAUACUGUGGCAGUGGUACCGGGUGGUACUGUGGAGGAGCAGGGUCGUACCAGGGUGGCUUAACUUGUGGCAACGGGGGAGGGUCAGAUAGCUCCCUCCUCUCCUCUCGGCCCUGUUGGGCCGUAAUGAGUCUUUCUAACAUCUCAAAUAUCCUGUCCAUGUCUUCCCUGAG